UGCCCAUUAGUCUAGCGGUAGGACAUCAGACUCUGAAUCUGAGAGCCCAGGUUCGAAUCCUGGAUGGGCAGCCA
RNAcentral lists this transfer RNA (74 nucleotides) under Chloroflexota bacterium. RNAcentral describes it as "Chloroflexi bacterium tRNA-Gln". It matches the Rfam family "tRNA". Rfam says of the family: Transfer RNA (tRNA) molecules are approximately 80 nucleotides in length. Their secondary structure includes four short double-helical elements and three loops (D, anti-codon, and T loops). Further hydrogen bonds mediate the characteristic L-shaped molecular structure. tRNAs have two regions of fundamental functional importance: the anti-codon, which is responsible for specific mRNA codon recognition, and the 3' end, to which the tRNAs corresponding amino acid is attached (by aminoacyl-tRNA synthetases). tRNAs cope with the degeneracy of the genetic code in two manners: having more than one tRNA (with a specific anti-codon) for a particular amino acid; and 'wobble' base-pairing, i.e. permitting non-standard base-pairing at the 3rd anti-codon position. Lineage: Bacteria; Bacillati; Chloroflexota. The record is from RNAcentral. RNAcentral also lists the same sequence under 3 other names.